CAUGGCUCAGAUUGAACGCUGGCGGCAGGCCUAACACAUGCAAGUCGAGCGGCAGCACGGGUACUUGUACCUGGUGGCGAGCGGCGGACGGGUGAGUAAUGCCUAGGAAUCUGCCUGGUAGUGGGGGAUAACGUUCGGAAACGGACGCUAAUACCGCAUACGUCCUACGGGAGAAAGCAGGGGACCUUCGGGCCUUGCGCUAUCAGAUGAGCCUAGGUCGGAUUAGCUAGUUGGUGAGGUAAUGGCUCACCAAGGCUACGAUCCGUAACUGGUCUGAGAGGAUGAUCAGUCACACUGGAACUGAGACACGGUCCAGACUCCUACGG
Molecule: ribosomal RNA, 326 nt
Filed under: uncultured bacterium
Lineage: Bacteria
Description: bacterial SSU rRNA
Rfam family: Bacterial small subunit ribosomal RNA
Source: RNAcentral